UACGUAGGGUGCAAGCGUUGUCCGGAAUUAUUGGGCGUAAAGAGCUCGUAGGCGGUCUGUCGCGUCGGUUGUGAAAAUCCAGGGCUCAACCCUGGACCUGCAUUCGAUACGGGCAGACUAGAGUUCGGUAGGGGAGACUGGAAUUCCUGGUGUAGCGGUGAAAUGCGCAGAUAUCAGGAGGAACACCGGUGGCGAAGGCGGGUCUCUGGGCCGAAACUGACGCUGAGGAGCGAAAGCGUGGGGAGCGAACAGG
RNAcentral lists this ribosomal RNA (253 nucleotides) under uncultured bacterium. Its description in RNAcentral is "partial 16S ribosomal RNA". It matches the Rfam family "Bacterial small subunit ribosomal RNA", at positions 524 to 776 of the family's 1533-position model. The record is from RNAcentral.